RNAcentral lists this long non-coding RNA (2836 nucleotides) under Panax ginseng (ginseng). Its description in RNAcentral is "long non-coding RNA (PGIN_LNC003316)". The record is from RNAcentral. Lineage: Eukaryota; Viridiplantae; Streptophyta; Magnoliopsida; Apiales; Araliaceae.
UGUAAUUGAAAGUAAGGACCUCCAUCAUUGUUCAAGUUUUUAUAAAUUGUUCCACCCAUCAAUGUAAAAGUAAAAAUAUUAUUAUAAAUGUUAAUACGAAAUACAUUAGCCAGCUGACCGUCUCCAUCUAGCAACUGUAAUAACUCAGUUGGUUUCUCAUGCUAGACUGGUAGUUGAACACUUGAACUUAGCCCUUAGAGCAGCACAAAAAAAAAACCCCAACAACCUAUUUUGUUGUUAGGUGAUGGUGUUGUUCAUGCUCCCACAUAUAUAACAGUAUGGCAGUGGCGACAAACUCAUUCUAUGUAGCCUAUAUUUAGUAUCCUCUUUGUAGCUGCAACAAACAAAAAGUUAUUUAGUGAUAUGUUGUUAUUAAAUAUUUAAAUUAUUUGCGAGGUGUACAAUUAUGCCUUACCAAAAUUUGAUUUUUGAAAAUUAAUCUUAUUACAUGUCCUCCUACUCUCUGUGACAACACCUGUAAGCAAUGCGUCAUAUGCAUAAAAUGAGAUUGCUAAUAAUAAAAAAUAGUAACUGAACUAAAUAAUAAUUUACACCAAUUAUAUUGCACAUACAGCAAGGCUCACAAUUGUUAACAUUACCUUCAAUAAUUCAUGUUAUGUGUAACAUAUCAAGACAUAUGUGAUGCUGUCAAGAUUGAAAGGGCAGGAUGAUAUUAAUUAUACGUACGUACCUGCCUAUAUGAGUGCCCUUACUGAAAUUUAGGCUACCAAGUUUCAUGAUCAUCUAAGUUUACAUAUCUUGAUCAAUGGUCCUUACACAUUAAGAACGAUAUAGCAUAUCCUCAUUUUGAAGUGGAUGGGUGAUUACAACUAUGACUUCAAGCAUAUACUACACAAAUGGCCGGGGAAGAAAAUUUGGAGCAUCUAAAAAUAUUAUCCGCAUUAAAAAGAGAAAGUUGCUAUGUUAAAUUUUAUGAAUAAUUAUAGUGGUCAAAGCAAUGUGGCUGAUAUAUAUGUGAUGGUACACCAAAAAUGACAAAGUAGUAGUUUCAUCUAUUUAAUGGAGAGCCAAUAGGCCACAAUGAGCUAAUUUUAAGGAUCAAACAUAUUAGAUAUACAAUAAUGUUUGAUAGAUAAGUAUCACCAAAGUUGUAAUUAGAAUAUUUCAAGAGUAAAGGAAAAAGAAAAAAGAAAAAAGGAAAGCAAAAAAUAAAAGCCAUAACCUACUGUCACUGUCAUAAAACAACCCCAUGUUAAGCAAGAACAAAAGAAUCAAUAAGCAAUAUAGUAAGAGCAAAUAAUAAGAACUGAGCCAUAAAAUGUUGACAGAGUAUCGUUUAUACUUACAUUUCCCAUGGCAAGUAGUCCUUUAUCAAAGAAGAAAAUGAUUCCCAAAAAGGAGAAAAAACACCAAAUCCUGUCAAUCCUAGCCCAAUCUCUGUUUCAUUACAAAAUGCAAUUUUUAUUUAGUCACCAAAUUUUUGAGAUAAAACCAAGCAUAUCAAUAAAUAAAUAAAGGAAAAAACAGUUCAUAUUGAAGCUUUAGGUAAAGAAAGAAUAGGAAUAGUUUUGGCUUGUGCAAUUCUCAUAUUUAGCAAUGACCUGCAGAUACUGUUAGGCAGAUCUCAUGCAGAUACUCAGACACAAUGGCCUGCAGAUACUCAAUUUAGACACCAAAAAUGUAACCAUACUUCAAUUUAGACUCUCUAAGAAGCAAAAAGUUUGAUAAUGAUGCCCAGUCUUGGCAAGCAGGCAGCAAUGUCACAUUUUUGAAUGAACUCAAAAGGCUUAUCCAAUAAGGUAAGGUGGUUAGUGACACCCCUUAUCCAAUAGCAUAAAAUAUGACCCUCUAUCUGAUAUUGUAGCACCUCGUAUCUUGAAUAGGUCCCACUUACUUUCCUUGAUCUCUGGUAUGCCUCAAAGUAUUACUCUACUCAAAUCUCCUGAACUAACAACACUGUGCUUUACUUACCAGACUGCCACAGAAGAAAGCCACCUAACCUGGCUCUGAUAAAUUCUGGUAAAAAAAGUCAUCCAAAAGGCAAAGCAUGGAAAAGAAGAAACAACCUGAAAGCAUAUAAUAAUAAUAAUAAUAUUCCCACCCAAAGCAGCAUACUGUAACAUUGUAAAAAAAUGAACAUAUCCAGACAAAACCAUGGUUUUCAUAAAUUUUGCUAAUUACAACGCAGUAUUGACCUGGAGAAUAAUACUCCUUCCGUUUCAUAAAAAUAUUUUUAAGUUUCAUUUGUGAACUUUUUUUUUCCCCAUAUAAAGUCCUCUUUUUCCUGAUAGUAGAAUAAAAUGACUCAGCGUUUUUGAGUUUAUCAUCAUAUUUUCGUCAUCAUGCAUCACUACAAAUGGGACUGUUUUUGUGGGACGGAGAGUAAAAAACACUCGCAAUCUAAUGCAGAGAUAUGUGAAGAACAGAGGAUAUUGUUAGAUUAAUACCAGUGAGUCCCCAUGGAGUUGAUGAAGAUGGGAUUGUUCUGACAUAUUUUAAUGUCCCCUUCUUGGCUGCGGAGCCUCGUUAACUGGAAAAACCAUGAGUUGGUCCUUUCUUAGUGCCUAACAGUAUCUGCAGGUCAUUGUGUCUGAGUAUUCAUUGUGUCAGGCCAUUCUUAGUUUUGGCUUCCUAGGAAUAGUUUUGGCCUAACAGUAUCUGCAGGGCAUUGUGCAAUUCUCAUAUUCCUAACUGGACAAAACAUUCUCAUAUUUAGCAAGUCAUCGUCUUAAAGUAAAGUAGAGUUUUUAAAAUCCAAAUAUCAAUACAUUAAAGCAUAAGAAUAUCCUCUAAGUCUUAUUUCAUCAAACACUUAAAAUGCACUAACCAAUCGAAUCAAGUAACAACGCUAUAGGAAUAAUUUUGAAAAAAUUAC